RNAcentral lists this ribosomal RNA (275 nucleotides) under uncultured Prochlorococcus sp. RNAcentral's name for it is "partial 16S ribosomal RNA". It matches the Rfam family "Bacterial small subunit ribosomal RNA", at positions 1259 to 1533 of the family's 1533-position model. The record is from RNAcentral. Lineage: Bacteria; Bacillati; Cyanobacteriota; Cyanophyceae; Synechococcales; Prochlorococcaceae.
GAAAGCUAGCAAUCCCAUAAACCGUGGCUCAGUUCAGAUCGUAGGCUGCAACUCGCCUACGUGAAGUAGGAAUCGCUAGUAAUCGCAGGUCAGCAUACUGCGGUGAAUACGUUCCCGGGCCUUGUACACACCGCCCGUCACACCAUGGAAGUUGGCCAUGCCCGAAGUCGUUACUCCAACCCUUGUGGAGGAGGACGCCGAAGGUGGGGCUAAUGACUGGGGUGAAGUCGUAACAAGGUAGCCGUACCGGAAGGUGCGGCUGGAUCACCUCCUAA